GUGGGUAGUUUGACUGGGGCGGUCUCCUCCCAAAGAGUAACGGAGGAGCACGAAGGUUAGCUAAUCCUGGUCGGACAUCAGGAGGUUAGUGCAAUGGCAUAAGCUAGCUUGACUGCGAGCGUGACGGCGCGAGCAGGUGCGAAAGCAGGUCAUAGUGAUCCGGUGGUUCUGAAUGGAAGGGCCAUCGCUCAACGGAUAAAAGGUACUCCGGGGAUAACAGGCUGAUACCGCCCAAGAGUUCAUAUCGACGGCGGUGUUUGGCACCUCGAUGUCGGCUCAUCACAUCCUGGGGCUGAAGUAGGUCCCAAGGGUAUGGCUGUUCGCCAUUUAAAGUGGUACGCGAGCUGGGUUUAGAACGUCGUGAGACAGUUCGGUCCCUAUCUGCCGUGGGCGCUGGAGAAUUGAGGGGGGCUGCUCCUAGUACGAGAGGACCGGAGUGGACGCAUCACUGGUGUUCGGGUUGUCAUGCCAAUGGCAUUGCCCGGUAGCUAAAUGCGGAAGAGAUAAGUGCUGAAAGCAUCUAAGCACGAAACUUGCCCCGAGAUGAGUUCUCCCUGAGACUUUAAGUCUCCUGAAGGAACGUUAAAGACGAUGACGUUGAUAGGUCGGGUGUGUAAGCGUAGCGAUACGUUGAGCUAACCGAUACUAAUGAACCGUGAGG
This 661-nucleotide ribosomal RNA is filed under the name Klebsiella aerogenes. Its description in RNAcentral is "partial 23S ribosomal RNA". It matches the Rfam family "Bacterial large subunit ribosomal RNA", at positions 2261 to 2916 of the family's 2925-position model. Lineage: Bacteria; Pseudomonadati; Pseudomonadota; Gammaproteobacteria; Enterobacterales; Enterobacteriaceae. The record is from RNAcentral.